UGCUAAUGAUUCACUUGAAUUUUGUAGAAUUAACUUUUUUAAUUGAAUCUUGAAAUUCAGUCUGUUUUCUAUUUGUGUUAUUUUUUGUGAUGAGGGAGG
Molecule: long non-coding RNA, 99 nt
Organism: Melanotaenia boesemani (Boeseman's rainbowfish)
Lineage: Eukaryota; Metazoa; Chordata; Actinopteri; Atheriniformes; Melanotaeniidae
Exons: 3
Source: RefSeq, a predicted model, not a curated record